Long non-coding RNA from Haemorhous mexicanus (house finch), 375 nucleotides. RefSeq lists it as uncharacterized. The transcript is spliced from 2 exons. NCBI's taxonomy places the organism in Eukaryota, Metazoa, Chordata, Aves, Passeriformes, Fringillidae. The record is from RefSeq and is a predicted model, not a curated record.
UUCCUUUCACUUCAAAGGUUUCACCUUCCCAGAGGGGCACGGAGGUGGCAGGGGACAGGGCGAGAGCUAAUCCAGCCUUCCAGUGAAGGCCACACUCGGCACCCCACCCCCACUGCUCACCACCACCCAGGAAAAACAUCUCUGUGGAGCAGCACAAUGGAGGAAGAGGAGGAGGAUGUUGGAGGCCCCACGCUCUCAGUUCCCCUUGCACGCCAUAGCCCAUGGGACGACUCCGGAGGGUCCCUCAGUGAGGAAGCCAUCCCCUGUCCCCCUGUCCCUGCACCUACUGUGCUUCACGCACAGGAUGUCCACUUCUGUUUCCACAACUUUAGUUGGCCGGAAAGUUUUUAAUAUUAAAUGAAGAAGCACGCACGA